This 6029-nucleotide long non-coding RNA is filed under the name Marmota monax (woodchuck). The record is from RNAcentral. Lineage: Eukaryota; Metazoa; Chordata; Mammalia; Rodentia; Sciuridae.
GCUGAAGAGUGCAGGUCCAGGAUUCUCAGCCUGCAGUGUCCUGGGGACUGGAGGACAGAAGCGUGGUCCUGGGCGGCAGCCACACCAGGUCAAGAGAAGAGUGAGGACCCAUCCUGUCUGAACGUACCUGGUUUGCCUUCAGACACCAUGGAAGAGCCAGGUGCACAGGGAGCCAGGGCCCAGGGGCUGGGCUCCAAAUAUGGGGUUUGUGGGGAGAACGUGCAGGAAAGACCAGCUAGGGUGGCCAGGGGCAGCCACGCUUACGCACAUCUUGGCAGUGGUAACCAACAGGGCUGAAUCCCCACACGGGACCUCAGGGAGCCCAGUGAGGUCAUCUCAGAUGUCUGGCCUCCAGAACUGGGGUCACCCCAGAGUGGGGUCACUUGUUGUGGAAGCAGAGCACCCAAGCCCUCCAACCUCGUCACAGGCGCCGGUUGCCUCUCAGACCCCCAUAGCAUGACCCCCCACAGCUCUGUGUCCGGGCCAGCACCAGAGAGUGUCAGGCUUGCGCUCCCCCGGCUCCCCCGGUGCAUCUGUCUCUGCAAACACCACCCAUCCAUGUCCUGCUUGAGAGUCCGUCUUGGUGCUACAGGGUGCCCGCCCCCUGCUCCUCAUCAACACUGUCCUUGUCCUGUCUCCAGUAGGUGCUAAGUCAGGGACAGGUCCCUCACUGUCCUCCUGCGUGUGCUCUCCCUCCCUCUCUCCUGGUGGGACUUUGGAGGGGUUAGGGAAGAUGGAGCAAAUUGGGAAAGAAUUGGUACCUUGGAAACAUGAGUCUCCUGAACCUGCAUUUACCAUUUAGACUUUCUUCUGUUUUCAUGUUUUCUUUAUGGGAAAUUUCAGAGUCAAGAGAACAGGAAGAGAGGCUGGGGCUGGGGCUCAGAGGUAGCGCGCUCACCUAGCAUGCUUGGGGCCCUGGGUUCGAUCCUCAGCACCACAUAAAUAUAAAAAGAUAUUAUGUCCACCUAUAACUAAAGAGAGAGAGAGAGAGAGAGAGAGCGAGAGAGAGAGAACAGGAAGAAAGAUAAUGAGCCACAGGCCCGCAGCCACCCUGCACCAGCAGCUACCCAGCCUGGGCCCCUGCUGGUCCAGAACGGGACUGCGGAGGUGUCCCGGCUCACCGCGAGCUUUGGUGUGCACCCCCAGGUAGAUGAAGGUGGCCUUUACCAAUAACCAUAAAAUCAUCAUCAAUUCCCACAGUCCUUUCUUUUUCUCCUCCUCCUCCUCCUCCUCCUCCUCCUCCUCCUUCUUUACCCAGGGGUGCUUUACCACUGAGCUACAUCCCUUAAGCCACCAGAGUGGGGUCACUUUGAGACAGGGUCUGGCCUUGAACUUGCAGUCCUCCUGCCUCAGCCUCCCAGGUGGCUGGCAUCACAGGUGUGCUCCUCGCCCGGCUUCAGCGGUGGUUUCUUAAUGAAAUCCAACUUGUGCUGUUUUCAGGGAUGGUCACAGGGCAUGCCACUCUGUUGGCUUGAGCUGGCAGGGUCCCCACAGUGGGGAGGCCCACUGAUCUGCAGUGGCCCCUCCCCUCUCCCCCUGGGACCUUUGUUUGUUGAAGGAACUGGGCCAUUGGCCCCACUGACUUUUAGGGGUCGGCUUCAUGUCCCCGCGGGGUUCUGCCGUUUGUCUCAGCAGUCCCACGCGUCUGCUGUUGUGUUUAUUCUUAAGGGCUUCAUUCUUUCCGCUGUGGUUGUAAAUGGAAAGACGCUCGGUUCUCGUCACCGAGGCGUCUCCGCAACGUGAGUGAGCUCCCGCAUUACCUUGCGUCCCAGAUGCUUCUCCUCCUGCGCCCUUGGACCUUCUCGUUGGGGACCCAGCGCCUCCUUGUUGGGUUCUUGGUCUUCCUCCUCUCUUCCUCCCUGGCCCUGGGUGCACUGGGCAGGUACACUGAGCAGUGCCUGGCCCCUGGUUCCCAGUCCUGAAGCUUCAGUGUCUGUGGCUGGGCCUGCGGCUUGUGGAGGGCUCCCUGAACGGGCAGGCUGACAGUUGAUGAGUCGAGGAGCACGAGGUGGUGUCCUCGAUGAACAAUUAAACCGAGCCGGUCAACCUGUCACAGAAACACGCAACACUUUUUGUGGUGAGAACAUUUGAAAUUUACUCUCUCGGCAAUUUUUAAAUGUACAAAUAUUGAUUGUUUUCACCACAAUGGAACUAAAAAUACGUGUCUCCUGUCUCACUCCCUUUGUCUGAUCUACGGAACUUUUAUUCUUCCCGUCUCCUUACUGUGGUUAGCUUCCAUAUAUCAGCAAGAACAUUCCACCUUUGGUUUCUUGGGACUGGCUUAUUUCACUUAGCACGAUGUUCUCCAUUUCCAGCCAUUUACCAGCGAAUGCCAUAAUUCCAUUUUUCAUCAUGGCUGAGUAAUAUUCCACUGUGUGUAUUCACCCCAUUUGCUUUAUCCACCCACCUGUUGAAGGGCGCCUAGGUUGGUUCCAGAGCUUUGCGAUUAUGAAUUGAGCUGCUAUAAACCUGAUGUGGCUGUGUUACAGUAGUUUGCUGAUUUUAAGUCCUUUGGGUAUAAGCUGAGGAGUAUGAUACCUGGGUCAAAUGGUGGUUCCAUUCCCAGUUUUCUGAGGAAUCUCCAUACUGCUCUCCGGAGUGGUUGCACCAGUUUGCAGCCCAAGCACCCUCAUCAGCACCUUCACCAGCACCCUCACCAGAACACUCACCAGCACCUUCACCAGCACUCUCACCAAUACCCUCACCAGCACCCUCACCAGAACCUUCACCAGCAUCCUCACCAGAACCUUCACCAGCAACCUCAGCAGCACCUUCACCAGCACUCUCACCAACAUCCUCACCACCACCCUCACCAGCAUCCUCACCAACAUCAUCACCAGCACCUUCACCAGCACCCUCACCAGCACCCUCACCAGCCCCCUCACCAGCACCCUCAUCAGCACCCUUACCAGCACACUCACCAACAACAUCACCAGCACCCUCACCAGCACCCUUACCAACAUCUCACCAGCACCCUCACCAACACCCUCACCAGCACCCUCACCAGCACCCUCACCAACAUCCUCACAACACACUAACCAACAUCAUCACCAGCACCUUCAUGAGCACCCUCACCAACAUCAUCACCUGCACCCUAAUCAGCACCCUCAAUAACACCUUCACAAGCACCCUCACCAACACCCUAACCAACACCCUCAUCAACAUCCUCUCCAGCACCCUCACCAGCAACCUCACCAACACACUCACCAGCACCCUUACCAACACCCUCACCAGCACCCUCACCAGCACUUUGGUCACCUGUGUUCUUGAUGACCUCCAUUCUGCUGGAGUGUGAUGGCACCUUGGGGUAGUUUUAAUGUGCAUCUCUAGUGGCCAUGAUGGUGAGCAUCUUUUCUUGUUGGUUGACGUUCGUAUUGUGAGGUUCAUUUCUAACACAAGUUCACGACUUUUUUAAGUAUGAAAGGGAUGUUGGAUUUUAUGGAUCCUUCUUUCUUGCUUACUGGGUGGAUGGUGUGACCCCCUGGGGUCUGCUGGCUGGUGCCCGUGUGCUCAGGGGCCCCUCGUGGCCAUGCCUGCUGUCCUGGCGGGAUCUGCUGGGCAUCUGCUGGGCACGUGGCCCUGUCGCUGAGCAGCGGGGGAUGGGGGCGGUGGCUGCUUACUGCCGCCGCGGCUUGUGCCCAGAGUGUUGUGUGCUGGUUGCCUCUGUCCGCUCCCUGCUCAUGGCCACCACGGUGUGCCUCUUUCUGAGCUUUAAAGCGCAGGCAGUGCCUCUGGAGAGCAGGGAAUUAGACUUUUGAGAUUUUUUUUUUUUUUAGAGAGAGAGAAUUUUUAAUAUUUAUUUUUCAGUUUUCGGCAGACACAACAUCUUUGUUUGUAUGUGGUGCUGAGGAUCGAACCCAGCGCCCCGCGCAUGCCAGGCAAGCGCGCUACCGCUUGAGCCACAUCCCCAGCCCUGAGACUGUUUUUGAAAAUAGCAUUUCUUACCACUUCAGUGUGCUGGCUGGCACACUGGCAGCCUCUGUACCAAAGGUGGCCCUUCCAAGCUCUCCUGAGAGCCACAGAGUGACCCUUGGUUCUCCAGCCGCUUCUCCUGUGCCCGAGCCCUGCACAGGUGCUGGCCUAGGUCUCCCCACCCCCGGGGCCUUCACACUCGUCCUUCCACUUCCCAGUUUGCGGGUCCUUGUAGAUUCGUGUGUGGAAACAGGAAUCUGUACCGUUUCAGAGGAUUAGAGUGGGGUGAGAGUUGAGAGCCAGGAGGGCGCGCCUCUGUGCCUGGACGCUCAGAGUAUAUGUAUGCUGCGGUCCACUGUACGUCCAGCGAGGCAGUCGGGUAGCCGCACCAAGGUCCUGAGACAGAGCUGAACAGGUCUGGCCACUUACAAGUGUCUUCUGACAACCCCGGAGAGCACAGAGCAGUGGGCAAGUCUGUCCUUCCACGUGGGGAGAAUGUGGUGGGUGUUUUAUGGGCACUUAGAAUCCUACCCUUUGGGACUUUAAUGCAAAGUGUUUUUUGCAGUUUAAAUCACUGGCAUUGAUUCAUUCAUAAUGUAACCGGGAAACAUCCUGAGCCAUUGAACAUAUUCUUAGCGGCUGGUUCUGAAGCAGUGGCUGAAUUAAGCAACAGAAACCCAGUUCCCAGCUCUGGGCAUCUCCCGCACGGACACCUGUGCUCACCGCCCAGACUCACCCCCGGGGUCAGGGAGAGACUGUCCUCACACGGGACGUCUGUGCCCACACACUGACACAAGCACUCACCACGCACUCUUUCCAUGUUGACCACGGUGUGAGCAGAACGUGACGAUGGGCGUUAGAACAAGCACGUAUUUGUGGUUGGACAGAGAGUAAAUGAAGUCGUACCUCAGACUUGACUUUCACAAGAAAUGACGAGGUACUAAAGAGCAUCUAUGUCUAACACUGGUUCUUGAGUGGAAAAUCUUUGAUCAAGGGAUGUAAAAUUCCAUACCAAGAGUGUCCACAGGCGUCCUCCUAGAAUCCCCAGACGAGGAGGGCGUGAUCAGUGUUCUCAAGGUCUUUAAGCCCCUGAACCUUGGCAGAGUGUGUGUGUGUGUGAGUGUGUGUGUGUGUUCUAGUGAGAUAACGUGAGCUGAGCAUGAGAUAAGACACAUAAGUCUUUUGUGUGUGGUGUUGGGAAGGGACCCCGGAGGCUCGACCACUGAGCACCAUCUCCAGCUCCUUCUGGUUCUGACUUUGAGACAGGGUCUUGUUAAGUUGCUGAUGGCCUUGAACUUGCAGUCCUCCUGCCUCAGCCUGCACGCAGCUAGGUCCCAGGCGUGGCCACCACAGCUGGCAGACACAGAGGUCAGAAACGUCUGGUCGGAUCCAUUUUGACAACGGCAUACAUCUGUGCAGCCAGGUAGAGGGUGGCCCCAGACCCCGCAAGUUCCCUGGCCGUCCAUCCUGGCACGCGGAAGCCACCCUACGAAUUCAGCCCCCUGCCCGAGCUUGCUGCUCUGGGCUUCAGCGUACUCCUGUGUCCACUUCACGACUUUGCAGAGGCCCUCGAGAGAGAGCCCUGGGCGCGCCUGACGGCCAGCACCGCCCCUUCUGUUGCUCCCAGAGGUGCCCCGAGCUGUCCUUCCCUCCUCCUGUCCAGCACCUGGGCUCUUUCCAGUCUGGAGCUAUGAGAGGGAGCGCGACCCUCCGUGAACGCCCUCGGGCAGUUUCUCAGCCGUCCUUAGGAUCGGGGGCCUGUUGUUAGGGUCUUUCACAAGAAAUUCCCGCCAGUCACACUCACGGCUGCAGAUGGCUCCGAGUCCUUGCCAGAGCUUGUGCCACCUAUGGUGUGACUCCCGGCCACCUCGGGGACACACAGUGCUAGGGCUUUAGUUUUCGUCCCGUGACUCUGGGUGUCACACCACGUGUCCGUGCUCGUUGGCCAUUUCUGUAUCUUCUCGUGUCAUACGGCUCUACACCUUCUGUCUGUCUAAGCUGGAAUCUGGUCUUUGAGUUAUUGAUGUGCAGGAACUCUUUACAUAUUCUGGAUACAAGACCUUUGUCAGAUAUUUGUGCUACAAGUAUUUUUUCCCUAAUUGGUGACUUAUCUAUUC